Molecule: ribosomal RNA, 253 nt
Filed under: uncultured bacterium
Lineage: Bacteria
Description: partial 16S ribosomal RNA
Rfam family: Bacterial small subunit ribosomal RNA
Source: RNAcentral
UACAGAGGGGGCAAGCGUUAUUCGGAAUUAUUGGGCGUAAAGGGCGCGUAGGCGGCCUGGCAAGUGGAAGGUGAAAUCCCUCGGCUUAACCGAGGAACUGCCUCCCAAACUGCUUGGCUUGAGACCGGGAGAGGUGAGUGGAAUUCCCAGUGUAGCGGUGAAAUGCGUAGAUAUUGGGAGGAACACCAGUGGCGAAGGCGGCUCACUGGACCGGUACUGACGCUGAUGCGCGAAAGCGUGAGGAGCAAACAGG